RNAcentral lists this long non-coding RNA (714 nucleotides) under Setaria viridis. RNAcentral describes it as "long non-coding RNA (SVIR_LNC009542)". The record is from RNAcentral. Lineage: Eukaryota; Viridiplantae; Streptophyta; Magnoliopsida; Poales; Poaceae.
GGAGGGAUUGUGACUAGUUUGUAGGCAGGGACGUGUUGCUGUUUGGUGAAGAAUUGAUAGCCUUUGCAUUUUUGAACUAACUGCUUCGCAUCUGCCAAAGCCAUGGGCCAGUAGAAGCCUGCUCGGAAAGCUUUGCCUACUAUCGUUCGUGAGGAUGCGUGGUUGCCACAGAUUCCUUUGUGAAUUUCUUCUAGGAUUUCUUAGCCGUCUUCACGGCUGACACACUUCAUGAGUACCCCUGAUGAUGCAGUUUUCCUGUAGAGCUUGUCUCCGACCAGAACGUAGUUUUUUCCUCAUCAGGAAACUUGUUCAACUUGAUUUUUGUCAGAUGAUAACUAAUGGUCUCUGAUGUAGUCGAUGAAGGGUGUCCUCCAAUCAACUUCUAUCAUCAUUAUUUCUUGAGUAACUUCUGUAGUCUUGAUCACUGGUGGUGUGACUUGUUCUGGUAUGGAUGGUUUAUGGAGUUCGUUUACGAAAAUUCCUGCUGGACAUUCUGCACAAGUUGAGCCAUUUUUGAUAGUACGUCGGCGGCUACGUUGUUGUCGCGGACGAUAUGAUGAAAUUCCAGGCCUGAGAACUUGUUUUCCAGUUUGCGGACUUCUUUGACAUAAGCAUCCAUGUUGUCCUUGUUUCAAUCCCAUUCGUCAUUGACUUGGUUUAUAACGACUAGUGAGUCGCCGUAUACCAGUAGUCUUUUGAUUCCGAUGGAAAUUG